GCCACCACCAAGUACACAAAGGUUGAAAGAGGACGUUUGUGGGAAGUAGACAUUUGUGAAUGUGGAUUUAGAAGAUUUUUCCCUGUGAUGAGCUGAGUCAUGGGUGAGAGCUGGAGAAAACAGAGUCCUGUGAAGAGGUGCCUUCCACGAUGAUUGUAAGUUUCCUGAGGCCUCCCCAGCCAUGCAGAACUACAGAGUCUUGCUCUGUCAUCCAGGCUGGAGCACAGUGGCGCAAUCUCGGCUUACUACAACCUCCACCUCCCGGGUUCAAGCGAUUCUUCUGCCUCAGCCUCCCGAGUAGCUGAGACUGCAGGCAUGCACCACCACUCCCAGAUGUAACCAAUUUAAGAUGAUGUCGUGCUGGAUUCGGGAAGAUCAAGAUGCAGAAACCCAGAGACACAAAGGGAGAGGUAGAGAUUGGAGUGGUAUAUCUACCCACCAGGAAAGCCAAAGAUUGCCAUUAAUCCACAGAAGCCAGGAGGAGGCAAGGAUGGGUCCUCCCCCGGAGCCUUCAAAGAAUGCAUGAACCUAAAAACAUCCUGAUUUCAGACUUCUGGCCUAGAACUGUGAGAGAAUAAAUUUUUGUUGUUUCAAGCCACCUGGUUUAUGGUAUUUUGUUAUGGCAACCCUAGGAAAAGCAUACGGCUGCCAGUGAGUAAAGAUGCUCAGCACACUAGGUGAGCACUUUGCUGCACUCUGGGGAAAAUUUGAGAAAUUUUGCCAGUGUGGUCAUAUGGAGCAUUGUGAAAAUAAAUCAUUGUAUUUUCUUUACAUUGUAUAAUUGUUGAAAUAAAAUUAUCCAUGAGUCUUCCACAAUAUUGCAUGUCUUAUAAACAUAAAUAUUGAUAUUUGUGGAAGAUACUGUCAUCCCCUGUAGCAAAAGGCCAACGUGCUUACUGUCCAGUGUAAAAUAUAUGAAUUCUCUAAGCUCAGGGUUGCUCUUCCACAGUACAACCCAGUGCAUGUAUGGAUGUUGCUGGCUCUGUUUAUGCCACCCUGUGGGACUUGGGAAAUGAUACAAAAAUAAUAACAUUACUCUGGAUACUGCUACUGCUGUGAGUAAAAAACUUUCUUUUGUCUUUGACCCAUGAAUCUCAUGCCUUCUGCCACUAUCCAUAAAAUGGGCAGGCUAACUUGUUUGCUUGCAAAUGUAAUAAAAUCUCAGAGUCUUUACAGUUCUUGACAGUGCUUAUGACAAAUAUUAAGAUGCAAAUAUUAGAAAUGAUAAGUAAUGAAUUUAUGUUAACCUUUCAAAUAACCUUUCAAAACUUUUGAUGAUAAACUUGGUCCUGUGCACUUAAAUUUUAUAUCAAGAUUUUUGCUGAAAAUGUCCACGUUUCAAUUUCUGGUGAAAGCAGUUUAAUUUUGAUCACCUGACAUUCUUGUCACUUUCAACAAGAAACUUUGUUCGUGCAAGUCAAUGGCAGACUUUUCAAAAUAAUGUAUUAUAGCCAUUUAAAAAUGUCCA
RNAcentral lists this long non-coding RNA (1468 nucleotides) under Homo sapiens (human). Its description in RNAcentral is "novel transcript". The record is from RNAcentral. Lineage: Eukaryota; Metazoa; Chordata; Mammalia; Primates; Hominidae.